This 487-nucleotide ribosomal RNA is filed under the name uncultured bacterium. Its description in RNAcentral is "bacterial SSU rRNA". It matches the Rfam family "Bacterial small subunit ribosomal RNA", at positions 1 to 524 of the family's 1533-position model. The record is from RNAcentral.
CUCGAGGCCAGAUCUAGAGUUUGAUCCUGGCUGAGAGCGAACGCUGGCGGCAGGCUUAACACAUGCAAGUCGAGCGGGCACUUUCGGGUGUCAGCGGCAGACGGGUGAGUAACACGUGGGAACGUACCCUUUGGUUCGGAAUAACGCUGGGAAACUAGCGCUAAUACCGGAUACGCCCUUUUGGGGAAAGGCUUGCUGCCGAAGGAUCGGCCCGCGUCUGAUUAGCUAGUUGGUGGGGUAAUGGCCUACCAAGGCGACGAUCAGUAGCUGGUCUGAGAGGAUGAUCAGCCACACUGGGACUGAGACACGGCCCAGACUCCUACGGGAGGCAGCAGUGGGGAAUAUUGGACAAUGGGCGCAAGCCUGAUCCAGCCAUGCCGCGUGAGUGAUGAAGGCCUUAGGGUUGUAAAGCUCUUUUGUCCGGGACGAUAAUGACGGUACCGGAAGAAUAAGCCCCGGCUAACUUCGUGCCAGCAGCCGCGGUAAU